UACGGAGGGUGCAAGCGUUAUCCGGAUUCACUGGGUUUAAAGGGUGCGUAGGUGGGCAAGUAAGUCAGUGGUGAAAUCUCCGGGCUUAACCCGGAAACUGCCAUUGAUACUAUUUGUCUUGAAUACUGUGGAGGUCAGCGGAAUAUGUCAUGUAGCGGUGAAAUGCUUAGAUAUGACAUAGAACACCAAUUGCGAAGGCAGCUUGCUACAGGAAUAUUGACACUGAGGCACGAAAGCGUGGGGAUCAAACAGG
Molecule: ribosomal RNA, 253 nt
Filed under: uncultured bacterium
Lineage: Bacteria
Description: partial 16S ribosomal RNA
Rfam family: Bacterial small subunit ribosomal RNA
Source: RNAcentral